Molecule: ribosomal RNA, 269 nt
Filed under: uncultured prokaryote
Description: partial 16S ribosomal RNA
Rfam family: Bacterial small subunit ribosomal RNA
Source: RNAcentral
UACGUAGGUGGCGAGCGUUAUCCGGAAUUAUUGGGCGUAAAGAGCGCGCAGGUGGUUGAUUAAGUCUGAUGUGAAAGCCCACGGCUUAACCGUGGAGGGUCAUUGGAAACUGGUCGACUUGAGUGCAGAAGAGGGAAGUGGAAUUCCAUGUGUAGCGGUGAAAUGCGUAGAGAUAUGGAGGAACACCAGUGGCGAAGGCGGCUUCCUGGUCUGUAACUGACACUGAGGCGCGAAAGCGUGGGGAGCGAACAGGAUUAGAUACCCGGGUA